CAAUAGUUGGCGUAGAGAGCGUAUAUGAUUUCGGGUCAUAAGGGGAACAUGGAGUUUACUAUUUA
Molecule: transfer RNA, 65 nt
Filed under: Pliocardia ponderosa
Lineage: Eukaryota; Metazoa; Mollusca; Bivalvia; Venerida; Vesicomyidae
Description: tRNA-Arg
Source: RNAcentral